CUAGGCAAGAAAAACACAACUGAACCGAACUGAACUAGGGCUGGUGGUUGAUCAGGACUUCCUUUAUUUAUUCGUUUGCAAUUAUGACAAGAAUUUAUAUAUUUGGACUUUAUACUUUUAUUUUGUUCAUUUUCUUUUUAUCAGGAAGUCAAGGAAGCCUCCACCAUGCCCUUCAUUAUUACGACACUCUUCACAUAGACAAUGUCAAACAUCACAUUGUUAAAAGAGAUCUAGAUGAGGAUGAUCAACAUGUACGAUACAUCAGUUUUACAACUUUGGGAAGGAAAUUUGAUCUAGAACUGAGACCGUCUGAGACAGUUUUAUCGUCAACUUUCAAAGCAUAUGCAGUUGAUGAACAUGGUAAAAAAGAGGAAUAUGAAUUUGAUAGAGAUAAUGUCCUCUCUGGUCAUCUAACAGAUGAUUUUGAUUCACAUGUUCAAUGCCAUAUUGAAGAUGAUAACACGCUAAAUGCAAAGAUUGUGACACAAGAAGAAACAUAUAUUAUAGAGCCUUCAUGGAGGCAUCUAACAGAUACAGUCAAUGGUACAAUGAUUUCAUACAGAAAAUCUGACAGAAAAUCAAAUGAUACGCAUACGUAUUGCGGACAUGGUAGCCAUCUCCCCAAAGGCUUGAAAUAUGAUCGAGAUUUGGAAGAAGAGGAGCACCACCAUUACACCAAGCAGUACCAAGAAUCGGAUGGACAUGGAAGACAGAGAAGGUCUCUUCGUCCACCUCCAAAACACGUCUGUCCCUUGCUUCUAACAGCUGAUAGCCUCUUUUAUGUGAAUAUGGGUCAAAGUAGUAUGUCACAAACUAUCAAUUAUCUUAUUUCGCUUGUGGACCGAGUCAAUUUGAUCUACAAAAGAACAAACUGGGAUGGUAAAAGCUACGGUGGAUUUUACUUUGAAGUUGCAGAGGUUACUGUUCAUAAAACACAGAUAAUGGGGAACCAUUACAAUACAAAACCACCUAUUGGUGAUGUUUGGGAAGUGCAAGAUCUCUUAGAGAUGUAUAGCAAACAAAAUCACAUGAAAUUCUGCUUAGCUCACCUGUUCACUUACCAAGAUUUCUCAAGUGGGGUGUUAGGUUUAGCAUAUAUUGGAACUCAAAGAACCAAUGCUGUUGGUGGUAUAUGUACACAAUCUUAUCCAUCUAAUGGUGGUGACUUAUACCUUAACACUGGAUUGACAACGACCCUCAAUUGGGGGCGCCGGGUACUCACGGAUGAAGCUGAACUUGUCACAGCACAUGAAUUAGGACAUAAUUUUGGAAGUGAGCAUGAUCCAACAACCAACAUCAAUGGUUGUGCCCCAGAUGAUCCUAAUGGCAACUUCUUAAUGUAUCCAGCCUCAGUAAGUGGCAAGAAACCAAACCAUGAUCGAUUUUCUCCUUGUAGCAAACGUAUGAUCCAGCAAGUUUUAAAAGCUAAGUCUUCUCGCUGCUUUAGAGAACCACAAGGUACAAAUGUCUGUGGCAACUAUCGAAUUGAUAAAAAUGAACAGUGCGAUGCCGGGUUACUUGCCCAAGGAGAAAGUGACCCGUGUUGUCAUUUAAAAUGUAAACUGAAACCAGGAAAGAAAUGCAGCGAUAAAAACUCUCCUUGCUGCGAAGGCUGUAGAUUUGCACCACCAACGAAAGCUUGUCGAGAAACUGAGUACUCUGACACUGGUUGCAAGAAAGCAGCGUUCUGUACUGGACAACAUGCGAAUUGUCCAAGAGCUGAAUUUAAACAGGAUGGUUCCCCUUGCAUAGAAAAUGGACGAUGUAUGAAUGGAGUAUGUAUGCCUUUCUGUGAAGUUAAUGGUCUGGUGUCCUGUAUAUGUUCUGAUUCUACAGAGUCUUGUUAUUGGUGCUGUAAAAGGACUGAAGCUGAUGAUUGUACUAUAUAUAUCAACUCUACAUUAAAACAGCCACAGCGUGUUCCUGAUGGUAGGCCUUGUAACCAUGGAGUUUGUAAAAAGGGAAAAUGUGAAACUCAAGCUCAAGAUUUUAUAGAAAGAUUCUUCGAUAUUUUUGAAGGAAUCACAAUUAGUAAACUAGGUCGAAUAAUAAAGGACAACAUCGUAGGAGCAACAAUUAUUAUCUCUCUGAUCAUUUGGAUUCCAUGUAGCUGCCUUGUUCACUAUGUAGAUAAAAAACGUGAAAAAGAAAUUAGUGAAGAUAAUGACUGGUUCAAUCCAACUAAUAAAGAACUGAUGAGGCCAGGUGACAAGGGUAAAGUUCGAAGGUAUCGACCCCCACCCUAUCUAGAGAAGGAGACUGUUCUCUAGCUAACUGCAUGCGUUAAUGUGGCCAACGUGGGAAAGUCCCGCUGGAUGGUAAAUACAAUAAUUGGCAAUCAAGGUCACAAGUGAUUGCUCAAGAAGCUGAACAAGACUCGAAUCUGUAAGUUGGAUGGCGUCUUCAACAAUCGCAACCUAUCCUGCAUGUAUUACAAUAUUGCAGUUCCAAUAUGUAAUCGUCUGGCGAAUGAAAUUAUAAAGAACAUCAUUUUCACCUUAAUUAUUUCAUUCUUCAUUCAUCUUACAUAUCAUACCAGUGGUGUAACGUUGAGUCGGGGCCUGGGGGGAAGAAAACGUGUUGGGACCCAUGAAUUUCUGUAAAGUGUUCGCUAACAUAAACAUGAAUAUUGAGCCUGAAAAGAAUAUCUUUAAAGAAUACAAUUAUAUUGUAUGACUAUAAACCAUAGAAUCAACUACCGUACUUUCAAUUUCCAUUUAGACUGGGGACCCUGGGGCUUCGCAUCCCAACCACACACCCCCCCCCCAGCCCAUAGUCGUUACGCCACGGCAUCAUUCGUUGUUCAUUGCAUGACCACCAUUCAGGGGCGAAUCAAGAAUUCUAAAACAUGUGGAUCAGAUGAAUGUCCACAUGUUCAGAAUUUGCGACUAUAUCUACAGUUCUUUCCAGAGUGUCACUCAAAAUGUCCAAUUGAUCAAUCAAAACGUGGUAUUCAAUAAUCAGGAAUACGCGCAUGUCCCACAUUAAACGCACGUUUACGCUGUCGAUUUGUGAUACCUUAGCAACAGGGGCGGGCUAAGUGGAACGCUCCAUUUUGGGGCUUUCUAGAAACAACUUCUUGAUCCGCUACUGGUUAUUAUUAUUGACGUCGGUAUUCUUCAUCCUACUAGGAGAAAUGAAUGAUAAACAGUAGGAUUAAUAUACGGCGGCUUGUAAUUAAAAACAUUUUAUAUAAUUCUAAUGGAAUGAAAUGCUGCUAUAUUAAUUAGAUUGCAUGUCUCAUAUUUAAAACUUUAUUAGUAAAUUAUUAUUUUUACAGUUUUAAGAUAUAAAAAUUGUCACCGUA
RNAcentral lists this unclassified non-coding RNA (3307 nucleotides) under Anneissia japonica. RNAcentral's name for it is "aDAM 17-like protease, transcript variant X1". Lineage: Eukaryota; Metazoa; Echinodermata; Crinoidea; Comatulida; Comatulidae. The record is from RNAcentral.